UUUCGAAGUUUUUUUAUAUUUUAAACCUGUCAUCCUUUUUGAAAUUUUCUUCUUUUUUUUUUUUUCCUUUUCCUUUGUGACCUUAUUCCCUUGUUAGAGGCACAAUUAGGGGAAAUAACCUAUAGUUUACUAGUCCUAGAGCAGUAGUGACCUAUCUCCCUUACUUUGUUACUCGAGGAGCAGAGGGCCGCAACAAGAUGCGGGUCUAACUGCGGAAGGAUAAUUCUCGGGAGUUCCAGAUGAGAGGCAGGCUGUUGAAAGCAUGUCUGGCCUUGUUGAUGCGGCUUUUGAUGUCACCAUCCUUGUUGACAAUGCACCCCAGACACGCGAAACGGUCUGUUUCGAGGAUUUUCUCUUCUAGAAGUUGGAUUGGGAACCUAUCUCCUCUAAGUUGUCCUAUAAAGUCUCGUGCAAAAUAUUUUAAAAAUUACUAACUUGACUUCUGAAAAUGAUUUAAUAUUGGAUUGGCACCGAAAAUGAGUAACUGGUGACAAUUUCAGGCCUCUAGGACGGUGGGAAGUGGGUGAGAAAUCGAUUACAAAAUUCCAACCAAAUACAGAGUGCAUCUAUGCUAAUAAAGAGAGAGAGAGGAAGGGGUAUGAAUCGAGUCUUUUAAAAAAAAAUCGUUAAUUAGAAGAGUUUAAAGUUUAGUCAUUUAUCAAGAUGGCAGACCAGCUCUCCAGAAUAUGUGAUUAUCAUGCCGCUCAACUGUAUUUAUACUUGAUCUUUUAAUCAUGCAAAACCGUUGCUUCCUCAAGUCUUCAGCAACGGAUACAAAUUAUGACCAUGAUAGAAUGGUUAGAUGCAUCAAGUCUUAUGGAUUGAUCGAUGGAUAGAUAGACAGUAGUAGAAGACAACGCCCGGGUCUCAAAUAACGGUUUCUGAAUCAGCUAAAAUGCAUUAGAAAAUUGCACACGUUAACACAUAUCUUAGAAUAUUUUGCAAAUUGUGAUCUUUUAGUGUAAAGUCUUCGAUCUCCUCGCUCUCGUUCGCUGGCUUGCUCGUAGCAAUAAGGGAAAUGACUGAAUUGUGCAUUAUUUGACAUAAAAGGAUGUAAAUCCACACAUUAAAAGUGGGAGUGUCUACAGAAUUGUUGUCGACCUAAUAAUUAGAAUCAAUGAUUUGCCGAUGACUGUCUGAACGAUCGACUCAUUUGAUGGUGCUUGCGACCUGAGAAAUGUUACAGACAUGCCGGCCACUGAUAACCGAGAUUAAGAACAAACUGCGUAGUUAAAGAAACAAGGUGGUCCGAAAAUAGAUCAAACAAUGCUUGUUUACCGCUACUGCUGCAGACACGUAACCAUAUGCCUCUUGGUCAUCCAACUGGAAAUUAUAGGUCACUGAAAAAUCUGCCCACUAAACGGCUGCUAAGUGUUUACGUCCGAAUCACAAGACUUGCUGCGAAAACCAAAAUUAUUUCUCCUUAUAAGUAUGAACUAGAUUCCUGUAUGCCCUGUGACCACAAUAAAUAGCGGUAGGAUUAUGAUAAACAAGACCGUUAAACUUCAUUUUACAGCGCGGGUGCGAGUUACGAGAAUCUGCAUCAUUUUACAGCACGAGCUCGUCACGAGAGUCUGUAUCGUAUCACACCACGGGUUCGAGUCACGGCAAGGUUUCUCCACAAGGCCGAAUUUUUUUCGUCUGGUGCAUCUCCCACGCUAUAAAGGCAGUGCAAGACUUUGGAGUCGGAACUGGCGAGUCGUAGUGUAUCACCGAGUAUCUGUGGCUUGCUCAUUUAUAACAGAGGCUUAACCUUCUGCGCCCUACUUCCGGUCACUAGCAUAAAAUUAUUGAAGCGACAGCUACAAAGACAGAAAAGUCAAGCCAUGUCAGCUCUGGAGGGGAAUACCGCAUGAGAAGCAAGAAAUAAUAUGGAAAAAAUUCCAAAAGGAGCUCUACAAACUCAUUUUGUUGACCUAUCUGUGAACAGUGGGAGACAGAGACACCGUGACGAUACUGAGGACUGAUCGAGCAGAAGAUGGACAGAGCGACGGGACGCAGUGACGGUCCGGCAGUUAGUCCAGACGCCGCCAUGGCGACGAGCAGUAUGUCCGGAGAGCUGCAGCGCCUUCAUUUUUGCCACGUGUGCAGGAGCUACUGCGUCGUGAACUCAGAAGGUAAAUAAAAAAAAAAAAUCUUUUUCUUUUCAUCACCCUCGUCAUCUCUUUCUCUCCUCUGUCUCUGCAGUCCUCAUUUUUCGAGAGAGAAAUCUUCUUUCAUAACAUGACAGUGAUGACACAAAGGGGGUUGUACUCUGUCAUUGUCUCUGUCACUAUUGCUUUCCUUCCAGUUCUGUCUUCUUCUGCCAUUGUUCCUUAUUCUAGUCUCUCUCCUAACUGGCUAGAUGAUGAUUGCUUUCUAUCUUUUUCUUUAACCGGAGACCUGUCUCAAGCGGACAGCUUCGAUCGUUGAGGAGGGGACUCUACAUUGGCGCCAUCUUGCCGCUUCUUUGAUGCUGGAUGUGUGUCAGUUAACUCUCUGGUCUCUUGUUUGCUACUUGUCUGAUUUUUCUAGACUGUUCAGGCAGGUACUGUGGCACUCGCCUCUGUGCGAGCCGGAUUUGACAGUUGUGUAGUAUCCAGUUUCACUUCAGUUCUCUGUCGCCAUUGGAUUUAAUAUAUGAUUUUGAAAUCACCUUUUCCCCUCGCAGUUUGCCAGUCUACCCAUUCUUUUUUUUUGUGUGUGUGUGUUGAGCUGCACCGGCAUGCUUCGUUUGUAGGUUUUUAUGUUUUGUGUUUUAUGGGUAUUAAUGUGUGGCCCUGUCCCUUCGCUAUUUUGUGUCUUUGUGUUAGUUGCCUUACUUCCCGUUGUAAGCAGUAGAAUUUCUUACAUAAAUUCCCCAUCAUCAUUAUGUAUCAUUUUUUUGCUUUUUUCUUUUUUCUUGAUCAAAAUUCUCAACUUCGUGACUUGAUGUGGCCAAACUUCACGUGAUGCUUUUUACCAGAGAUUUUCUUUUAAAUAUUUGCCAAACUUUAUCACAUAUUAGACGACUUAUCAGUCAAGGAGAGAUGGGUGAAGUUCAUCGCUUAUUCCUUAAGAAUGUAAUAAUCUCUUACAUCACCAUUUCGUGCACGGCAGCAUUAGUUGACAGUUUCUUUAGUAUUCAUUGCACUUUUCUGAGACUGGAGUUGCACUUCCAGUGGACGAGGAACGUAUACAACGCGUUCGUGGGAUAGGCAGCACCAUUAGCGAAGGGGACAAAACUUCUUGACAUCUAAUUCACUUCUGUAACGUUGAAUGACUUCCCUUAGGCCGCGUCGUCAGACAUUAUUCUUGCAUUACAUUGUUAUUGGCUCAAUGAAGCGAGAAACGAGGCACAUAGGAAAAACAGCUUGUCCAGUCACGUACCCCCCUCUUCUCCCGUUGUCAAGCAAAACAUUAAUCAACAGUCAACAGGUGAGAAUAAUGAUCGUAAUUAUAGGAGUAUAAAUGGCAUGUUUACAAACAUUUAUAACAAAACACACGUUCUGUUUUAAUAUUUACGAAAGGUGUCAAUGCGUAGUUAAUGAACUGCCUAAUGAUCCUUACAGUC
Pomacea canaliculata is the source of this 3532-nucleotide long non-coding RNA. RefSeq lists it as uncharacterized. The transcript is spliced from 3 exons. The record is from RefSeq and is a predicted model, not a curated record. Lineage: Eukaryota; Metazoa; Mollusca; Gastropoda; Architaenioglossa; Ampullariidae.